GAACGCUAGCUACAGGCUUAACACAUGCAAGUCGAGGGGCAUCAGGAAGAAAGCUUGCUUUCUUUGCUGGCGACCGGCGCACGGGUGAGUAACACGUAUCCAACCUGCCCUUUACUCGGGGAUAGCCUUUCGAAAGAAAGAUUAAUACCCGAUAGCAUAAUGAUUCCGCAUGGUUUCAUUAUUAAAGGAUUCCGGUAAAGGAUGGGGAUGCGUUCCAUUAGGUUGUUGGUGAGGUAACGGCCCACCAAGCCUUCGAUGGAUAGGGGUUCUGAGAGGAAGGUCCCCCACAUUGGAACUGAGACACGGUCCAAACUCCUACGGGAGGCAGCAGUGAGGAAUAUUGGUCAAUGGGCGCUAGCCUGAACCAGCCAAGUAGCGUGAAGGAUGAAGGCUCUAUGGGUCGUAAACUUCUUUUAUAUAAGAAUAAAGUGCAGUAUGUAUACUGUUUUGUAUGUAUUAUAUGAAUAAGGAUCGGCUAACUCCGUGCCAGCAGCCGCGGUAAUACGGAGGAUCCGAGCGUUAUCCGGAUUUAUCGGGUUUAAAGGGAGCGUAGGUGGACUGGUAAGUCAGUUGUGAAAGUUUGCGGCUCAACCGUAAAAUUGCAGUUGAUACUGUCAGUCUUGAGUACAGUAGAGGUGGGCGGAAUUCGUGGUGUAGCGGUGAAAUGCUUAGAUAUCACGAAGAACUCCGAUUGCGAAGGCAGCUCACUGGACUGCAACUGACACUGAUGCUCGAAAGUGUGGGUAUCAAACAGGACUAGAUACCCUGGUAGUCCACACAGUAAACGAUGAAUACUCGCUGUUUGCGAUAUACAGUAAGCGGCCAAGCGAAAGCAUUAAGUAUUCCACCUGGGGAGUACGCCGGCAACGGUGAAACUCAAAGGAAUUGACGGGGGCCCGCACAAGCGGAGGAACAUGUGGUUUAAUUCGAUGAUACGCGAGGAACCUUACCCGGGCUUAAAUUGCAGUGGAAUGAUGUGGAAACAUGUCAGUGAGCAAUCACCGCUGUGAAGGUGCUGCAUGGUUGUCGUCAGCUCGUGCCGUGAGGUGUCGGCUUAAGUGCCAUAACGAGCGCAACCCUUAUCUUUAGUUACUAACAGGUUAUGCUGAGGACUCUAGAGAGACUGCCGUCGUAAGAUGUGAGGAAGGUGGGGAUGACGUCAAAUCAGCACGGCCCUUACGUCCGGGGCUACACACGUGUUACAAUGGGGGGUACAGAAGGCAGCUAGCGGGUGACCGUAUGCUAAUCCCAAAAUCCUCUCUCAGUUCGGAUCGAAGUCUGCAACCCGACUUCGUGAAGCUGGAUUCGCUAGUAAUCGCGCAUCAGCCACGGCGCGGUGAAUACGUUCCCGGGCCUUGUACACACCGCCCGUCAAGCCAUGGGAGCCGGGGGUACCUGAAGUACGUAACCGCAAGGAUCGUCCUAGGGUAAAACUGGUGACUGGG
Molecule: ribosomal RNA, 1445 nt
Filed under: uncultured organism
Description: SSU rRNA
Rfam family: Bacterial small subunit ribosomal RNA
Source: RNAcentral